RNAcentral lists this transfer RNA (72 nucleotides) under Ovis aries (sheep). It matches the Rfam family "tRNA". From Rfam's summary of the family: Transfer RNA (tRNA) molecules are approximately 80 nucleotides in length. Their secondary structure includes four short double-helical elements and three loops (D, anti-codon, and T loops). Further hydrogen bonds mediate the characteristic L-shaped molecular structure. tRNAs have two regions of fundamental functional importance: the anti-codon, which is responsible for specific mRNA codon recognition, and the 3' end, to which the tRNAs corresponding amino acid is attached (by aminoacyl-tRNA synthetases). tRNAs cope with the degeneracy of the genetic code in two manners: having more than one tRNA (with a specific anti-codon) for a particular amino acid; and 'wobble' base-pairing, i.e. permitting non-standard base-pairing at the 3rd anti-codon position. The record is from Rfam by way of RNAcentral. Lineage: Eukaryota; Metazoa; Chordata; Mammalia; Artiodactyla; Bovidae.
UCCCUGGCAAUCCAAUGGUUAGGAUUUGGAGCUUUCACUGCCAUAGCCCGGGUUCAAUCCCUGGUCUGGGAA